This 245-nucleotide ribosomal RNA is filed under the name uncultured bacterium. RNAcentral's name for it is "partial 16S ribosomal RNA". It matches the Rfam family "Bacterial small subunit ribosomal RNA", at positions 524 to 768 of the family's 1533-position model. The record is from RNAcentral.
GACGAAGGUGGCAAGCGUUGUUCGGAAUCACUGGGCUUAAAGCGUGUGUAGGCGGCUCGUCAAGUGCCUUGUGAAAUCCCCCGGCUCAACCGGGGAAUUGCUUGGCAGACUGACGAGCUUGAGGCAGGUAAGGGCGCGCGGAACUCUUGGUGGAGCGGUGGAAUGCGUAGAUAUCAAGAGGAACGCCGGAGGUGAAGACGGUGCGCUGGGCCUGUCCUGACGCUGAGACACGAAAGCCAGGGGAG